This 490-nucleotide ribosomal RNA is filed under the name uncultured Microbacteriaceae bacterium. RNAcentral's name for it is "partial 16S ribosomal RNA". The record is from RNAcentral. Lineage: Bacteria; Bacillati; Actinomycetota; Actinomycetes; Micrococcales; Microbacteriaceae.
CACGUAGUUAGCCGGUGCUUUUUCUGCAGGUACCGUCACUUUCGCUUCUUCCCUACUAAAAGAGGUUUACAACCCGAAGGCCGUCGUCCCUCACGCGGCGUUGCUGCAUCAGGCUUGCGCCCAUUGUGCAAUAUUCCCCACUGCUGCCUCCCGUAGGAGUCUGGGCCGUGUCUCAGUCCCAGUGUGGCCGGCCACCCUCUCAGGCCGGCUACCCGUCGUCGCCUUGGUGAGCUAUUACCUCACCAACUAGCUGAUAGGCCGCGAGUCCAUCCUUGACCGAAAUUCUUUCCAGCUCCUAGCCAUGCGGCUGAAGCUCGUAUCCGGUAUUAGACACCGUUUCCAGUGCUUAUCCCAGAGUCAAGGGCAGGUUACUCACGUGUUACUCACCCGUUCGCCACUGAUCCCCCGGGAGCAAGCUCCCAAGUUCACCGUUCGACUUGCAUGUGUUAAGCACGCCGCCAGCGUUCAUCCUGAGCCACGGAUCAAACUC